Molecule: ribosomal RNA, 536 nt
Filed under: uncultured Fusobacterium sp.
Lineage: Bacteria; Fusobacteriati; Fusobacteriota; Fusobacteriia; Fusobacteriales; Fusobacteriaceae
Description: bacterial SSU rRNA
Rfam family: Bacterial small subunit ribosomal RNA
Source: RNAcentral
GACGAACGCUGGCGGCGUGCCUAAUACAUGCAAGUCGAGCGAAGUUUUUCUGGUGCUUGCACUAGAAAAACUUAGCGGCGAACGGGUGAGUAACACGUAAAGAACCUGCCUCAUAGACUGGGACAACUAUUGGAAACGAUAGCUAAUACCGGAUAACAGCAUUAACUGCAUGGUUGAUGUUUAAAAGUUGGUUUUGCUAACACUAUGAGAUGGCUUUGCGGUGCAUUAGCUAGUUGGUGGGGUAAAGGCCUACCAAGGCGACAAUGCAUAGCCGACUUGAUAGGGUGAUCGGCCACACUGGGGCUGAGACACGGCCCAAACUCCAACGGGAUGCAGCAUUAGGGAAUCUUCCGUUUGGGCGAAUGCCUGACGGAUCAUCUCUGCUUGAUUGAAGAGGGAUUUCUUUUCGUAAAGUCUUUGUUAGGGAAGAAUGAUUGUUUGUUCUUUUGUAUUUAGACGGUCCUUAUUGGAAAUUGCGGCUUUGUAUUUUGGCUUGUGGUGUUUGUGGUGGGUUGUAGCUGUUGUCGUUUGUUUUG